GCCUCCUUAGCUCAGUGGUUAGAGCACUGGUCUUGUAAACCAGGGGUCGUGAGUUCGAAUCUCAUAGGGGGCU
Molecule: transfer RNA, 73 nt
Filed under: Saccoglossus kowalevskii
Lineage: Eukaryota; Metazoa; Hemichordata; Enteropneusta; Harrimaniidae
Description: tRNA-Thr
Rfam family: tRNA
About the family: Transfer RNA (tRNA) molecules are approximately 80 nucleotides in length. Their secondary structure includes four short double-helical elements and three loops (D, anti-codon, and T loops). Further hydrogen bonds mediate the characteristic L-shaped molecular structure. tRNAs have two regions of fundamental functional importance: the anti-codon, which is responsible for specific mRNA codon recognition, and the 3' end, to which the tRNAs corresponding amino acid is attached (by aminoacyl-tRNA synthetases). tRNAs cope with the degeneracy of the genetic code in two manners: having more than one tRNA (with a specific anti-codon) for a particular amino acid; and 'wobble' base-pairing, i.e. permitting non-standard base-pairing at the 3rd anti-codon position.
Source: RNAcentral